UACGGAGGGUGCAAGCGUUAAUCGGAAUUACUGGGCGUAAAGCGUGCGUAGGCGGUUCGUUAAGUCCGUUGUGAAAGCCCCGAGCUCAACUUGGGAAUUGCAGUGGAUACUGGCAAGCUGGAGUAUGGUAGAGGAAGGUGGAAUUCCCGGUGUAGCAGUGAAAUGCGUAGAGAUCGGGAGGAACACCAGUGGCGAAGGCGGCCUCCUGGACCAAUACUGACGCUCAUGCACGAAAGCGUGGGGAGCAAACAGG
This 253-nucleotide ribosomal RNA is filed under the name uncultured bacterium. RNAcentral describes it as "partial 16S ribosomal RNA". It matches the Rfam family "Bacterial small subunit ribosomal RNA", at positions 524 to 776 of the family's 1533-position model. The record is from RNAcentral.